Molecule: transfer RNA, 69 nt
Filed under: Wiebesia pumilae
Lineage: Eukaryota; Metazoa; Arthropoda; Insecta; Hymenoptera; Agaonidae
Description: tRNA-Asn
Source: RNAcentral
UUAAUUGAAACCAAAUUUUGAGGUCUAUUAUUGUUAAUAAUAUCAUUGAAUAUUUAUAUUCCAAUUAAU